GUCAAGAAAGCAAGGGAAAGAAACUUGUUCUCCAUUCUUGACAUUUCCUUCCCAAAAUUUCCUAAAUAUUUCACCAUUUUAUCUUUAAUUUCUUACAAAAAUACCUUACCUAAGUUAUAUUUGACCUUCCUUCUUCACUGUUUCUAUCAUCUUCUUCAUUAACCCCACCUAGGAUUUUGUUGUUUAGGGGGAGAAAAUUUAGCUAGAAAAAGAAGUGGAGAGAGGAACUACAAGCAAAGUGAGAGAAAAGUUGCAGAGUGAAGGAUAAGAGUAGAUUCUUCCAUUUAUUUUGAUUAUUUUAUAGGUAUGUUUUGCUUUUAAAAGCUUAGUUCACUUCGUGGAUCAUCAUCAUACACCAUAGCGAGAUUAAGUGAGUAUGAAACCAUUGUAUUUGUAUUUGUGGUUUCUAGUGGCAUGUACUAAAGGGUCAUUUGUGUAUGCAUGUAUGUCAGAUUCAUCUUAUUUUUGAACUUGUAUUAUUUUGAAGCAUAACACUUAAAAAUUCAUGGUAUGAAUGUUUAUGGUAAUUAAUAGCCUCACUUGGAUGUGUUUGAGUGUGAAA
Molecule: long non-coding RNA, 562 nt
Organism: Gossypium arboreum
Lineage: Eukaryota; Viridiplantae; Streptophyta; Magnoliopsida; Malvales; Malvaceae
Exons: 3
Source: RefSeq, a predicted model, not a curated record